This 202-nucleotide long non-coding RNA is filed under the name Elaeis guineensis (African oil palm). RNAcentral describes it as "long non-coding RNA (EGUI_LNC061006)". Lineage: Eukaryota; Viridiplantae; Streptophyta; Magnoliopsida; Arecales; Arecaceae. The record is from RNAcentral.
GCUUCCAUGUCCUAAAAGAGUUUUAUCUUUGGAGUGUGGAGUUUGUUUGUGCGAUAACAUAUAGUUGGCGUCCCAUGGGAUGGGAUGCCUCCUUUUCUUGUUUAUCCAUUUGUUCCAUGCUAAAAUUAUUAUGGGGCAUGGACAUUUGAGGGUGCAUGAAGAGUCUUUUUGAGGAUUAAUCACUUCAUUGGUUAUCGGAGGA